Phrynosoma platyrhinos (Desert horned lizard) is the source of this 72-nucleotide non-coding RNA. The record is from the annotation of a GenBank genome assembly. NCBI's taxonomy places the organism in Eukaryota, Metazoa, Chordata, Lepidosauria, Squamata, Phrynosomatidae.
GCCAGUGUGGUAUAGUGGUUUAAGUGUUGGACUAUGACGCUGGAGAGCAGGGUUCAAAUCCCUGCUUGGCCA